RNAcentral lists this ribosomal RNA (253 nucleotides) under uncultured bacterium. RNAcentral describes it as "partial 16S ribosomal RNA". It matches the Rfam family "Bacterial small subunit ribosomal RNA", at positions 524 to 776 of the family's 1533-position model. The record is from RNAcentral.
UACAGAGGUCCCAAGCGUUGUUCGGAUUCAUUGGGCGUAAAGGGUGCGUAGGCGGUGGGGUAAGUUGGAUGUGAAAUCUUGGGGCUCAACCUCAAAAUUGCAUUCAAUACUGCUCCGCUCGAGUUCUGUAGAGGAGAUUGGAAUUUACGGUGUAGCAGUGAAAUGCGUAGAUAUCGUAAGGAACGCCAGUGGCGAAAGCGAAUCUCUGGGCAGCAACUGACGCUGAGGCACGAAGGCCAGGGGAGCAAACGGG